GACGAACGCUGGCGGCGUGCUUAACACAUGCAAGUCGAACGGAAAGGCCCUGCUUUUGUGGGGUGCUCGAGUGGCGAACGGGUGAGUAACACGUGAGUAACCUGCCCUUGACUUUGGGAUAACUUCAGGAAACUGGGGCUAAUACCGGAUAGGAGCUCCUGCUGCAUGGUGGGGGUUGGAAAGUUUCGGCGGUUGGGGAUGGACUCGCGGCUUAUCAGCUUGUUGGUGGGGUAGUGGCUUACCAAGGCUUUGACGGGUAGCCGGCCUGAGAGGGUGACCGGCCACAUUGGGACUGAGAUACGGCCCAGACUCCUACGGGAGGCAGCAGUGGGGAAUAUUGCACAAUGGGCGGAAGCCUGAUGCAGCAACGCCGCGUGCGGGAUGACGGCCUUCGGGUUGUAAACCGCUUUCGCCUGUGACGAAGCGUGAGUGACGGUAAUGGGUAAAGAAGCACCGGCUAACUACGUGCCAGCAGCCGCGGUGAUACGUAGGGUGCGAGCGUUGUCCGGAUUUAUUGGGCGUAGAGGGCUCGUAGGUGGUUGAUCGCGUCGGAAGUGUAAUCUUGGGGCUUAACCCUGAGCGUGCUUUCGAUACGGGUUGACUUGAGGAAGGUAGGGGAGAAUGGAAUUCCUGGUGGAGCGGUGGAAUGCCCAAAUAUCCGGGAGGAACCCCCGUGGGCAAGGGCGUUCUUUGGGCCUUUCCCGGCACCUAAGACCCAAAGCGUGGGGAGCGAACAGGCUAAGAUACCCUGGCAGUCCACGCUGUAAACGGUGGGUACUAGGUGUGGGGUCCAUUCCACGGGUUCCGUGCCGUAGCUAACGCUUUAAGUGCCCCGCCUGGGGAGUACGGCCGCAAGGCUAAAACUCAAAGGAAUUGACGGGGCCCCGCACAAGCGGCGGAGCAUGCGGAUUAAUUCGAUGCAACGCGUAGAACCUUACCUGGGUUUGACAUGGAUCGGGAGUGCUCAGAGAUGGGUGUGCCUCUUUUGGGGUCGGUUCACAGGUGGUGCAUGGCUGUCGUCAGCUCGUGUCGUGAGAUGUUGGGUUAAGUCCCGCAACGAGCGCAACCCUUGUUCACUGUUGCCAGCACGUUAUGGUGGGGACUCAGUGGAGACCGCCGGGGUCAACUCGGAGGAAGGUGGGGAUGACGUCAAGUCAUCAUGCCCCUUAUGUCCAGGGCUUCACGCAUGCUACAAUGGCUGGUACAGAGAGUGGCGAGCCUGUGAGGGUGAGCGAAUCUCGGAAAGCCGGUCUCAGUUCGGAUUGGGGUCUGCAACUCGACCUCAUGAAGUCGGAGUCGCUAGUAAUCGCAGAUCAGCAACGCUGCGGUGAAUACGUUCCCGGG
RNAcentral lists this ribosomal RNA (1344 nucleotides) under uncultured bacterium. RNAcentral's name for it is "16S ribosomal RNA". It matches the Rfam family "Bacterial small subunit ribosomal RNA", at positions 28 to 1378 of the family's 1533-position model. The record is from RNAcentral.